Molecule: long non-coding RNA, 108 nt
Organism: Thalassophryne amazonica
Lineage: Eukaryota; Metazoa; Chordata; Actinopteri; Batrachoidiformes; Batrachoididae
Exons: 3
Source: RefSeq, a predicted model, not a curated record
UGUUUAAUGAUUAUACUGUCAUUUUAUGGUAAAAGUAAAUGCUUAUUUCCAUUUUUUAAUAUAAUAUUAUGACAAAUUUUGCUAUGUUUAUAUAGAUUUUCCUCAAAU